GUUAACGUAGCUUAACCAAAGCAUAACACUGAAGAUGUUAAGAUAGGCCCUAAAAAGCCUCGUAGGCA
RNAcentral lists this transfer RNA (68 nucleotides) under Taractichthys steindachneri (sickle pomfret). RNAcentral describes it as "tRNA-Phe". It matches the Rfam family "tRNA". From Rfam's summary of the family: Transfer RNA (tRNA) molecules are approximately 80 nucleotides in length. The record is from RNAcentral. Lineage: Eukaryota; Metazoa; Chordata; Actinopteri; Scombriformes; Bramidae.